This 137-nucleotide ribosomal RNA is filed under the name uncultured bacterium. Its description in RNAcentral is "partial 16S ribosomal RNA". It matches the Rfam family "Bacterial small subunit ribosomal RNA", at positions 355 to 509 of the family's 1533-position model. The record is from RNAcentral.
UGGGGAAUAUUGCACAAUGGGGGGAACCCUGAUGCAGCGACGCCGCGUGAGUGAAGAAGUAUUUCGGUAUGUAAAGCUCUAUCAGCAGGGAAGAUAAUGACGGUACCUGACUAAGAAGCCCCGGCUAACUACGUGCC